This 431-nucleotide ribosomal RNA is filed under the name uncultured bacterium. RNAcentral describes it as "partial 16S ribosomal RNA". It matches the Rfam family "Bacterial small subunit ribosomal RNA", at positions 338 to 795 of the family's 1533-position model. The record is from RNAcentral.
CCUACGGGAGGCUGCAGUGGGGAAUAUUGGACAAUGGGCGCAAGCCUGAUCCAGCCAUGCCGCGUGAGUGAUGAAGGCCCUAGGGUUGUAAAGCUCUUUCGGCGGGGACGCGGUACCCGCAGAAGAAGCCCCGGCUAACUUCGUGCCAGCAGCCGCGGGAAUACGAAGGGGGCUAGCGUUGUUCGGAAUCACUGGGCGUAAAGCGCUUGUAGGCGGAUCGUUAAGUCAGGGGUGAAAUCCCGAGGCUCAACCUCGGAACUGCCUUUGAUACUGGCGAUCUUGAGUCCGGGAGAGGUGAGUGGAACUCCGAGUGUAGAGGUGAAAUUCGUAGAUAUUCGGAAGAACACCAGUGGCGAAGGCGGCUCACUGGCCGGACUGACGCUUAAGAGCGAAAGCGUGGGGAGCAAACAGGAUUAGAUACCCUUGUAGUC